GCUGCCGAGGGGUGCUGCAGCGGACGCCGUCCGCCACGCUCGGUACGCGAAUCCGUUCAAGGGCGCCCUUUCCGC
RNAcentral lists this non-coding RNA (75 nucleotides) under Rhodanobacter spathiphylli. Its description in RNAcentral is "Rhodanobacter sp. SAH sequence". It matches the Rfam family "SAH (S-adenosyl-L-homocysteine) riboswitch aptamer". The record is from RNAcentral. Lineage: Bacteria; Pseudomonadati; Pseudomonadota; Gammaproteobacteria; Lysobacterales; Rhodanobacteraceae.